GUGGGAAUUCGCUGAAGCGGCGGCCGCAGCCUCCGACGCUGCGCGGGCCUGGUCUUCCGCGCGUUUGAUACGUUCCUUCUGCG
RNAcentral lists this transfer RNA (83 nucleotides) under Paraburkholderia domus. Its description in RNAcentral is "Paraburkholderia sp. LMG 31832 tRNA-Arg". Lineage: Bacteria; Pseudomonadati; Pseudomonadota; Betaproteobacteria; Burkholderiales; Burkholderiaceae. The record is from RNAcentral.